This 301-nucleotide ribosomal RNA is filed under the name uncultured bacterium. RNAcentral describes it as "bacterial SSU rRNA". It matches the Rfam family "Bacterial small subunit ribosomal RNA", at positions 338 to 656 of the family's 1533-position model. The record is from RNAcentral.
CCUACGGGACGCAGCAGCGGGGAAUAUUGCACAAUGGGGGAAACCCUGAUGCAGCGACGCCGCGUGAGUGAAGAAGUAUUUCGGUAUGUAAAGCUCUAUCAGCAGGGAAGAUAAUGACGGUACCUGAGUAAGAAGCCCCGGCUAACUACAUGCCAGCAGCCGCGGUAAUACGUAGGGGGCAAGCGUUAUCCGGAUUUACUGGGUGUAAAGGGAGCGUAGACGGCAUGGCAAGUCUGAAGUGAAAUCCCGGGGCUUAACCCCGGAACUGCUUUGGAAACUGUGCGGCUGGAGUGCAGGAGGG